AAUCUAAAACGAAAGUCUGAAAAUGAUCCUUGUUCAAUGAGAAAAAUAUGUUUAUCAGGCAAAUCUGAGAACAUUGAUUUUUUAUUUUACUUCAUAAACAGCAACCAACGAUCCUCUUUUUCAUAGAACAUCAUGAACAAAAUCUUCAUUAAUCUCCUCCAAUAUGAAUUUACCAGCGAAAACAGAAAAACUUCCUCCAUCAUCAGCCGAACACACAUUUACAAUUUCUAUUUUCUCUGCACUCUAUUCUCGUUCCACCACCACGACAUUGCCACUACUACUUUAGCGAGCUGUUGACUUGUGAAAUCACAUCACCCCUACCCAUCACUUUAACCACUAAACAACCACCACGAGUUUCACUUCUCCGCAUAUUUAACAACUCUAACUUAAACUAUGAAAGAUCUGAAAUUAAUGAUUACAUGGUUUUAUGGAACACAAUUUUGGGUAGUAAUCUUUCGAAAUGUAGUAGAAUUUGAAUUCUAAAAAUUAGAAGAAAAAUUGAUUAAGUAAAAAAGAGAAAAAGAUAAAAAAGAAAAGGGUUAAAUGUUGAAGCGU
This 555-nucleotide long non-coding RNA is filed under the name Capsicum annuum. RNAcentral's name for it is "long non-coding RNA (CANN_LNC007687)". Lineage: Eukaryota; Viridiplantae; Streptophyta; Magnoliopsida; Solanales; Solanaceae. The record is from RNAcentral.